RNAcentral lists this ribosomal RNA (253 nucleotides) under uncultured bacterium. Its description in RNAcentral is "partial 16S ribosomal RNA". It matches the Rfam family "Bacterial small subunit ribosomal RNA", at positions 524 to 776 of the family's 1533-position model. The record is from RNAcentral.
GACGGAGGGUGCAAGCGUUGCUCGGAAUCACUGGGCGUAAAGGGUGCGUAGGCGGCUGUGCAAGUCUGGCGUGAAAGCCCCGGGCUCAGCCCGGGAAGUGCGCUCGAAACUGCGCAGCUCGAGUGCCGGAGGGGAGAGUGGAAUUCCUGGUGUAGCGGUGAAAUGCGUAGAUAUCAGGAGGAAUACCGGUGGCGAAAGCGACUCUCUGGACGGCAACUGACGCUGAGGCGCGAAGGCCAGGGGAGCAAACGGG